This 434-nucleotide ribosomal RNA is filed under the name uncultured bacterium. RNAcentral describes it as "bacterial SSU rRNA". It matches the Rfam family "Bacterial small subunit ribosomal RNA", at positions 958 to 1392 of the family's 1533-position model. The record is from RNAcentral.
AACGCGAAGAACCUUACCAGGUCUUGACAUCCCGCUGACCGCCAUGGAGACAUGGCCUUCCCUUCGGGGACAGCGGUGACAGGUGGUGCAUGGUUGUCGUCAGCUCGUGUCGUGAGAUGUUGGGUUAAGUCCCGCAACGAGCGCAACCCUUGUCCUUAGUUGCCAUCAUUCGGUUGGGCACUCUAAGGAGACUGCCGUACAAAUACGGAGGAAGGUGGGGAUGACGUCAAAUCAUCAUGCCCCUUAUGACCUGGGCUACACACGUGCUACAAUGGGCGGUACAAAGGGCUGCGAACCCGCGAGGGGGAGCGAAUCCCAAAAAGCCGCUCUCAGUUCGGAUUGCAGGCUGCAACUCGCCUGCAUGAAGCCGGAAUCGCUAGUAAUCGCGGAUCAGCAUGCCGCGGUGAAUACGUUCCCGGGCCUUGUACACACCG